UCCACUUUGUACUCGUCAGCGAGAAGUGGCUUCUGCUGGACGUAACAAAGGAGAGAGAGGGAGAUGGUAAAGAGAUGUGGUUCCCGAAACGACAAAUCUGACUGAUGUUGCUGAUCCAGCCGUUCAUCUCCUCCUCCGUGUUGGCCACCAGGUCGAUGGUUCGGAUCGGCUUCUUGGAGUUCUUGCUCUGGUAGUAUUCCAGCACAUCUGGGUUGCCACACAUUCUCCCCGACCGGAGCACGAACCAGCGCUUCCGCCACGCCUGCAGCAAGCGGAACCUCAGCUCCAGUUUCCCAGAAGUGCUGAGAAGAGGAAGUUGACUGUAUUUAGCAGAAACACAACGAAAGGGGAAAUGGGUCGACCCACAGCACAUUUGGUGCUAAUAACCCUGCCGGCUUUCAGAGGAAACCAUAACUACAGAUGGCAGUUUGAUCCAGCGGGUGUUCACCAUAUGCAAAGUUCUGAGCCCGGGUGAAAACAAGUUGUUGUUUUUUUAUACCGAGGUCAAUCUCUAUAUAUCAGAUGCAAAGGCAAUCUAUAUAUAUUUACAGAGAAAUAGAGAAGAUAUCUGUUGAUAUAUUUGAAACAUGUGA
Xiphophorus maculatus (southern platyfish) is the source of this 593-nucleotide long non-coding RNA. RefSeq lists it as uncharacterized. The record is from RefSeq and is a predicted model, not a curated record. The transcript is spliced from 5 exons. Lineage: Eukaryota; Metazoa; Chordata; Actinopteri; Cyprinodontiformes; Poeciliidae.